UGGGGAAUAUUGCACAAUGGAGGGAACUCUGAUGCAGCAACGCCGCGUGUGGGAUGACGGCCUUCGGGUUGUAAACCGCUUUCAGCCAUGACGAAGCUUUUGUGACGGUAGUGGUAGAAGAAGCACCGGCUAACUACGUGCCAGCAGCCGCGGUGAUACGUAGGGUGCGAGCGUUGUCCGGAAUUAUUGGGCGUAAAGAGCUUGUAGGCGGUUUGUCGCGUCGAUAGUGUAAACACGCAGCUUAACUGUGUGCCUGCUGUCGAUACGGGCUGACUAGAGGAGGGUAGGGGAGAAUGGAAUUCCCGGUGGAGCGGUGGAAUGCGCAGAUAUCGGGAGGAACACCAGUGGCGAAGGCGGUUCUCUGGACCUUUCCUGACGCUGAGAAGCGAAAGCGUGGGUAGCAAACAGG
Molecule: ribosomal RNA, 409 nt
Filed under: Fusobacteriota bacterium
Lineage: Bacteria; Fusobacteriati; Fusobacteriota
Description: Fusobacteria bacterium partial 16S ribosomal RNA
Rfam family: Bacterial small subunit ribosomal RNA
Source: RNAcentral